This 856-nucleotide ribosomal RNA is filed under the name uncultured bacterium. Its description in RNAcentral is "bacterial SSU rRNA". It matches the Rfam family "Bacterial small subunit ribosomal RNA", at positions 60 to 914 of the family's 1533-position model. The record is from RNAcentral.
AGUCGAACGGCAGCGCGGGGCAACCUGGCGGCGAGUGGCGAACGGGUGAGUAAUAUAUCGGAACGUACCCAAGAGUGGGGGAUAACGUAGCGAAAGUUACGCUAAUACCGCAUACGAUCUAAGGAUGAAAGUGGGGGAUCGCAAGACCUCAUGCUCCUGGAGCGGCCGAUAUCUGAUUAGCUAGUUGGUGAGGUAAAGGCUCACCAAGGCGACGAUCAGUAGCUGGUCUGAGAGGACGACCAGCCACACUGGAACUGAGACACGGUCCAGACUCCUACGGGAGGCAGCAGUGGGGAAUUUUGGACAAUGGGCGCAAGCCUGAUCCAGCAACGCCGCGUGAGUGAAGAAGGCCUUCGGGUUGUAAAGCUCUUUUGUCAGGGAAGAAACGGUCGGAGCUAAUAUCUUUGACUAAUGACGGUACCUGAAGAAUAAGCACCGGCUAACUACGUGCCAGCAGCCGCGGUAAUACGUAGGGUGCAAGCGUUAAUCGGAAUUACUGGGCGUAAAGCGUGCGCAGGCGGUUUUGUAAGUCUGUCGUGAAAUCCCCGGGCUCAACCUGGGAAUUGCGAUGGAGACUGCAAGGCUAGAAUCUGGCAGAGGGGGGUAGAAUUCCACGUGUAGCAGUGAAAUGCGUAGAGAUGUGGAGGAACACCGAUGGCGAAGGCAGCCCCCUGGGUCAAGAUUGACGCUCAUGCACGAAAGCGUGGGGAGCAAACAGGAUUAGAUACCCUGGUAGUCCACGCCCUAAACGAUGUCUACUAGUUGUCGGGUCUUAAUUGACUUGGUAACGCAGCUAACGCGUGAAGUAGACCGCCUGGGGAGUACGGUCGCAAGAUUAAAACUCAAAGGAAUUGAC